GUGAUCACUUCAGCAGCACAUGUUCUAAAAAGUUGGAACAAUAGAGAGAGGAUUAGCAUGGUCCCUGCAAAAGGAUGACAUGAAAGUCAAUACAUAAAAAUUGCUU
Suncus etruscus (white-toothed pygmy shrew) is the source of this 106-nucleotide small nuclear RNA. NCBI's taxonomy places the organism in Eukaryota, Metazoa, Chordata, Mammalia, Eulipotyphla, Soricidae. The record is from RefSeq and is a predicted model, not a curated record.